GCCCUUGUAGUUCAAUGGACAGAACGGGAGCCUUCUAAGCUCUUAAUGCAGGUUCGAUUCCUGCCGAGGGCACCA
RNAcentral lists this transfer RNA (75 nucleotides) under bacterium. Its description in RNAcentral is "tRNA-Arg". It matches the Rfam family "tRNA". Rfam says of the family: Transfer RNA (tRNA) molecules are approximately 80 nucleotides in length. Their secondary structure includes four short double-helical elements and three loops (D, anti-codon, and T loops). Further hydrogen bonds mediate the characteristic L-shaped molecular structure. tRNAs have two regions of fundamental functional importance: the anti-codon, which is responsible for specific mRNA codon recognition, and the 3' end, to which the tRNAs corresponding amino acid is attached (by aminoacyl-tRNA synthetases). tRNAs cope with the degeneracy of the genetic code in two manners: having more than one tRNA (with a specific anti-codon) for a particular amino acid; and 'wobble' base-pairing, i.e. permitting non-standard base-pairing at the 3rd anti-codon position. The record is from RNAcentral.